RNAcentral lists this long non-coding RNA (993 nucleotides) under Gouania willdenowi (blunt-snouted clingfish). RNAcentral's name for it is "lncRNA (ENSGWIG00000014500.1)". Lineage: Eukaryota; Metazoa; Chordata; Actinopteri; Blenniiformes; Gobiesocidae. The record is from RNAcentral.
ACCUAGUAAUGAGAUCAGCUCAUAGUUACUUUAAACACAGUGUGUGUGUGUGAAUUCACACCCAGUGGAAGGUGUUGUUGGCCCAUGAGGAGGAACUAAUGGACCAGUUCGGACCUGGACCUCUAACCAGUGUAGAGUAGAAGCUUCACUGAUCAUCAGCAGCAUCUUCACUGGAGGAGUUUAGUUCUCUCUAUAACAGUUUGUCACAGAUAGAACAUUAGUGGGCGACUGGUGUGAAAGUAAAGGAACAAUGAGUGUGUGUGUGUGUGUCUUAAAGGUCCCACAUCACAUCAUCACACAGAGGCUCUGCAAUCAGCCAAUCAUCUGCUUAUGUUGACAGACAGGCGUCCAUCGUCAUAGCAACAAAGGACACAAACAGAAAGUCUGUGUCCGAUGGUUGACGUGAGCAUCCUUCCCGUAGUCCACUGGGUACAUGCAGUCCACGAUCUCCUGGAUCUGAGACAGCUCCAGGUUCUUCAUGAAGUCGUUAUCCAGGAUGGCCUCCUUUAUCAGCUCCUUGGACCUGAGGAGAACCAGGAACCAUUAGAACCACCAGUCUGUAGAUUCUGAGCUGCUUAAAUCCUGGAGAAAAGGAAGAAGCUGCUGCUGAUGAUGAUGAUGAUGAGGAGGAGGAGACGGAGGAGAGCCAGAGCUCCUCCGUCUGCAGCCUGAGUCGAUGUGAGCAGCAAAAAGUGUGAGAAACAAAGUUCUGAGGAGGAGGAGGAGGAAGACGGGAAGCUACGACGACACACGAGCAGCAGCGGAAAGAGACGAGUCAUCUUUAUCACCUCCUUCUCUGGCGCUCGUCAGUUUGAGCGCACCAGCAUCUCAUCUUCAGGCUCCUCAUCAUCAGUCACCAGCUACACACACACACACACGUCCUCUGUGAGCAUCCUCUCCAUCUUCAACGUCAUCAUAUUUACUUUCAUCUUCAUCAUACACUUAAUCAUCUUCAUCAUCAUCUUCAUCAAAGUCAGAUAACUUCAUUCAUCC